This 254-nucleotide ribosomal RNA is filed under the name uncultured bacterium. RNAcentral describes it as "partial 16S ribosomal RNA". It matches the Rfam family "Bacterial small subunit ribosomal RNA", at positions 524 to 776 of the family's 1533-position model. The record is from RNAcentral.
UACGUAGGGGGCAAGCGUUGUCCGGAUUUAUUGGGCGUAAAGAGCGUGUAGGCGGUUUGGUAGGUCCGCUGUGAAAACUCGAGGCUCAACCUCGAGACGCCGGUGGAAACCAUCAGACUAGAGUCCGGAAGAGGAGAGUGGAAUUCCUGGUGUAGCGGUGAAAUGCGCAGAUAUCAGGAAGAACACCCGUGGCUAAGGCGGCUCUCUAGUACGGUACUGACGCUGAAGACGCGAAAAGCGUGGGAGCGAACAGG